This 355-nucleotide ribosomal RNA is filed under the name uncultured Desulfocapsa sp. RNAcentral's name for it is "bacterial SSU rRNA". It matches the Rfam family "Bacterial small subunit ribosomal RNA", at positions 1027 to 1382 of the family's 1533-position model. Lineage: Bacteria; Pseudomonadati; Thermodesulfobacteriota; Desulfobulbia; Desulfobulbales; Desulfocapsaceae. The record is from RNAcentral.
CUUGGAGACAGGUGCUGCAUGGCUGUCGUCAGCUCGUGUCCGUGAGAUGUUGGGUUAAGUCCCGCAACGAGCGCAACCCUUGCCUUUAGUUGCCAUCAUUCAGUUGGGCACUCUAGAGGGACUGCCGGUGUCAAACCGGAGGAAGGUGGGGAUGACGUCAAGUCCUCAUGGCCUUUAUGCCCAGGGCUACACACGUACUACAAUGGCCGGUACAAAGGGCAGCGACACAGCGAUGUGAAGCGAAUCCCGAAAAGCCGGUCUCAGUCCGGAUUGGAGUCUGCAACUCGACUCCAUGAAGUUGGAAUCGCUAGUAAUCGCGGAUCAGCACGCCGCGGUGAAUACGUUCCCGGGCCUU